GAGGAACAGAACACAGAGCAGCCUGGCGGUGUCCUACCAACAAGCCUCCGUUUCUCCUUCCUGUACACUAGGGCUCCUGAAACUCACCUGGUUCAAGCGAUUCUCUUGCCUCAGCCUCCCGAGUAGCUGGAAUUAUAGGUGCAUGCCACCACGCUCGGCUAAUUUUUUGUAUUUUUAGUAAAGACGGAGUUUCACCAUGUUGGUCAGGAUGGUCUCCGUCUCUUGACCUCGAGAUCAGCCCGCCUCGGCCUCCCAAAGUGCUGGGAUUACAGGCGUGAGCCACUGUGCCCGGCCUUGGUUUCUAAAUACUAUUUUGAAGUAUCUGUGGAGAAAUGGUUACUUCGAGGGCUGGGGCAGGAAUAUAUAAGAUAACAUUGGAACAAAUUCUGACGCCAGAACAUGAAGAAAUAUUUGAAAAAGGAUGGGGCAUAUUGACUGAACACAGAAGACAAACAUGCAUGACCUCAGCCUAAUCGUGAGAAAACAUCAAAGAAAUCCAAAUUGAUAAACAUUCUGUAAAAUAAUUGGCCAUGCUCAGCAAAAGUGUCACAAUCACAAAAGACAAGGGAAGAAUAAGAAACGGUCACAGCCUGGAGGAAUCUAAGGACAUAACAACUGAGUGCAAUGUGAGAUCCUCGAUUCGAUCUUGGAGAAGAAAGAGGACGUUAAGAGAAAUAUUGACAAAAUUCAAAUAAGGUCUGCACAUUAGGUAAUGGUAAGAUACGUUGACAUCAAUUUCCUGGUUGGAUACUUGUAUUACAUAUACUAUUAUGUAUAUAAUUAUUAUAUUACAAUUACAUAUACAGUUGUAUAUUAUAUAUAAUACAAUAAAUGUAUAUAUAUGAUUAUAAUACAAUAAAUGUAUAUAUACAGUUUUAUAUAUAACAACUAUUAUACAUAUAAUACAAUUAUAUAUAUAGCUAACAUCAGGAUAGGCUGGUUGAGGAUUUAUAUGAAUCUUUGCUAAUUUUGCAUGUUUAAAAUUAUUUCAACAU
RNAcentral lists this long non-coding RNA (995 nucleotides) under Homo sapiens (human). RNAcentral's name for it is "HSALNT0261101". The record is from RNAcentral. Lineage: Eukaryota; Metazoa; Chordata; Mammalia; Primates; Hominidae.